RNAcentral lists this ribosomal RNA (218 nucleotides) under Pheidole jelskii. RNAcentral describes it as "partial large subunit ribosomal RNA". Lineage: Eukaryota; Metazoa; Arthropoda; Insecta; Hymenoptera; Formicidae. The record is from RNAcentral.
GAAUUUUAUAUAAAUUAAACAAAAAUUUUAGUAGAAGAUUUGUUGGAGUUUAUAUUUUAUUGGGAGGAUAGUUAAAUUAAAAAAACUUUAAAAAUAAAAAGAAAUCAUAAAUUUAUGAGUUAAAAUAAAGAAUGGCGGAGUAAGUUAAAGUAGAAUUAAUUACCUUAGGGAUAACAGCGUUAUAUUUUUAGAGAGAUCUUAUUAAUAAAAAUGAUUGC